CCGGUCGACCGCAUGGUGCGGAAGCGGCCUGUAAAGCCGCCGCCUUCGGGCACAGGUGGUUCGAUUCCAUCCGGCCGGA
Molecule: transfer RNA, 79 nt
Filed under: Nocardia farcinica IFM 10152
Lineage: Bacteria; Bacillati; Actinomycetota; Actinomycetes; Mycobacteriales; Nocardiaceae
Description: tRNA-Tyr (GTA) (tRNA-Tyr-GTA-2-1)
Source: RNAcentral